AUUGGAAACAGAUCACGUGAGCGCAACACUUAUUAAUGACCCAUCCCUUGUUGUUAAUAACUAGCAGCUGCUGCUAACAUUUCAAUGGCGAAAAAGUUUGAACCUGCGCAAAACUUUGUGGGACUAAUGCUCCAACUGUAGGGGGUUAGGCAGUUCACUGAUUACUUUAAAGCUACCAGCACAUGUAGCUACAGCGGAACAGACUAUUUUUGGUUGAUUAUUCUACCGAAAGGAGCAAUAAAACCGGAAAAUGUAAAAUCGAGGUGUUGUACUUUGUGGGACUCGUUCUUUUGAUCUCAUCAUCGGACAAUAGGUUUGAUACUUGCAUAUGAUGAAGAAAUCUUUCCACUAGUGGAAUAGCAUAGUUUAAUGAUUCUAGUUGUUUAUAAUCAUGCUAAAAUCAAUUUAAAGAUGCAGAAGGUAGAGAGAGGUCAUCAUUAACUUCCACCAGCAGUUCAGCUUCUUCCGUGUUUUAUGAGAUGCAAGAGAGGCUGGAGAACACUGCACAAAAGAGAAAAA
Long non-coding RNA from Amphimedon queenslandica, 519 nucleotides. RefSeq lists it as uncharacterized. The record is from RefSeq and is a predicted model, not a curated record. NCBI's taxonomy places the organism in Eukaryota, Metazoa, Porifera, Demospongiae, Haplosclerida, Niphatidae. The transcript has 2 exons.